UACAGAGAGGAGACCUUCUAUGACUGUGUCUUGCAAUGACCAACCAACCUCAGGGAGCCCCAGGCACCCCCGAGGCCCCAGCAGGCCUUCUUUCCCUGGGGUGUUGACCCCCCACUCUGCUCACUGUUUGGGGGUUCAGAUCCCCCAGGUUUGAACAAGAACCCACUCAGCACUGGGGGUCCUGGGCUUCACUGGGCCGCAGGUCCAGAAUGGGCCUCUCUGCUCUUCACUGUGGGGAGGGGACUUUCCUCCCAGACACUCGCGCCCCGGAGACCUCCAGGUGUACACUAGGCGGUGUUAGGGGUUCAUAAAAUAUCAGCGGCAAGGGGGCCCCAAGGAGGCUCCGCCCACCCUCUCUACAAAUAGGGAAACUGAGGCAAGACCGAAGCGGCGGCACUCCCCACCUCGGAUCUGAACUCCUCCUUUCCAGUUAGCAGUGCUUGGGUGGUUCCCAGCCCAAGGUCACGCCGCGAAGGAGACGCAGUUCCCGAAGGAAGCCAGGUACCCGGCUCGGCUCGGACUCAUCGCUCCGCACCUUCCGAGCUGAGCCACAAAACCCGGUUCCCUGUCCCCUCCUCGAACCGCCACGGCAGGCGCGGCGAGCGCCCCGGCGAGAGUGAGAGCGAAGGGGGCGCCUUCGUCCUCGUCACCGAGCGUGUGGCACCCCGUGGGCGCCGCAGGGACAUCCAUCCAGCGAGUCAAUGAACCACGAAUGCAUGACCCCUCUCGGCGCGCACAGCCGCCCCCGCCUCCUGGGACCACCUUCCACCUGCUCUUAGGAUGACGUCAUGUGAGUCCCUGCGCCCGCACCUGCACCCCCACCGGGAGCGACCGGCCCAGAGGCAGAAGCUGAGAAAGGACAAUAAAUUCUUUGUGAGACUUGCGUCCCCCGCCCCAGCACCCUGCCCCUUUCCUUAAUUUGUAAUGAAUUAUGUAAUUAUU
This is a long non-coding RNA of Sciurus carolinensis (gray squirrel), 942 nucleotides long. RefSeq lists it as uncharacterized. The transcript is spliced from 2 exons. The record is from RefSeq and is a predicted model, not a curated record. Lineage: Eukaryota; Metazoa; Chordata; Mammalia; Rodentia; Sciuridae.